UGGGGAAUAUUGGACAAUGGGCGAAAGCCUGAUCCAGCCAUGCCGCGUGUGUGAAGAAGGUCUUCGGAUUGUAAAGCACUUUAAGUUGGGAGGAAGGGCAGUAAGCGAAUACCUUGCUGUUUUGACGUUACCGACAGAAUAAGCACCGGCUAACUCUGUGCCAGCAGCCGCGGUAAUACAGAGGGUGCAAGCGUUAAUCGGAAUUACUGGGCGUAAAGCGCGCGUAGGUGGUUCGUUAAGUUGAAUGUGAAAGCCCCGGGCUCAACCUGGGAACUGCAUCCAAAACUGGCGAGCUAGAGUAGGGCAGAGGGUGGUGGAAUUUCCUGUGUAGCGGUGAAAUGCGUAGAUAUAGGAAGGAACACAAGUGGCGAAAGCGACCACCUGGGCUCAUACUGACACUGAGGUGCGAAAGCGUGGGGAGCAAACAGG
Molecule: ribosomal RNA, 429 nt
Filed under: Pseudomonadota bacterium
Lineage: Bacteria; Pseudomonadati; Pseudomonadota
Description: Proteobacteria bacterium partial 16S ribosomal RNA
Rfam family: Bacterial small subunit ribosomal RNA
Source: RNAcentral